AUGCAUAGGCUUCUGCGAGGAGCAGGUUACUGAGGAGCAGUGUUUGCAGCCAGGCCAACAGCAUCCUCACCGCCUUCAUCUUGCAGAUACCAUGUUCUUUGGGGGCUUGUUAAGAAGUGGAGCUGACUAGGGGACGAGCAAUGGAUUUGGCCUCACUGGUUUUGGCAUAAGGCAAGACAUGCGUGUAGAAACGCCCAAGAAACAGUUCGAUAUGGGACUAAAGGUGGACCAACUGGAUAGAAAAUCAAAAUAAGGAAGGUAAAAUUCAGAAAGAUUGCACAAGAGAGCCAGUUUUCAGCUGCCACACAGAGGAAGACACAGCCAGUUAGUCCCGAAGAGUAGCAGCCAAUCAACAGAAACAGCCGCUUCUCCAGGGCUGUCAGUGACCUGAAGGGACUUGUCACUUGGAUCAUCAGCUGGUAUUUGGACUUCAAGGGCAAGUUUGCCCAUAUUUUCCCUUCUCUGAGCCACCUUGCUUCCCCCACACCCAGCCCUCUAUGUCCAAGUCCUAAGCAUGCUUCAGGGUCCUUCUCUGAUGCCACCAUCUUCUCAGACCUGGCCGGCAUCUCCUCCUUCUCCAAAUCAUCAGAGCUUUUAUUUCCCUUCACCUCUCAUGUCAUUUUCUCUCUUGUGGUGCAGAUAUUUGUGUAGGUGUAUGUCCCACGUCCUGUACUAUUCUGUUUAAGCUCUUGUAGGAAUUAAGUCUCUCUCGGCGCACAGUAUGCAUCCAGAAUACCUGUUGAAUGAAUUAGUGGCUUCUCAGUGUCAAACACUAUUCUAGGUAUUGGGAAUACAGAGAUGAAUUACCUUUGCAUGAACCCCAUUUGCAAGGAAACCUGGUCUCCUAUGGGGAGACCCAUAAAGAUUGUGAAAAAGUAGGAAUGUGUGUGGAACAGGGAGCUGGCCUAGAGGAAGACAGUGAUGGAGCCCUGGGCCCCAUGGUCAGACAGGUCAGGAUUCAUGUCUUGGUUCUGCCACUUCACAGCUAUGUGGCAUGGGCCUCUGUGAGCCUCAGUAAAGGUAAAGCAGUAUCUACCCCACAGGGUUGCUGAUGUACAGAGGGCCCCUGGCACGGGUGUGACACCGUGUAGUGAUGUAAUAAAUGAAAGUUGUCUCCCUUCUGGGGGGCAAGGAAAGCUGUGCAAUUGAGGGGCCAUCUGAGCGGAGCUUUGAAGAAGAAUUCUUCAGAUAAACAAAAAACAAGUACUUUGUAGGCAGAGGAAACUACAUGAAUAAGCAAAUCGUUUGUCAUCAUCCAAAGAAAAGCUUUAAAAAAAGUUAACCUAGCCCCCCCCUCACACACACACACUCAUGGAAUUUGUGGCCUUUAACAUGGACCCCGAAGCUUCCAGCAGGCCCAGGGCUCAGAUUUUGACUCAGAAAAGAAAUGCCCUUGAAGGAGGAAAGGGGAUGUCAAUAAUCAUGCAGUUUCCUUCUCAGUGCCGCCAGGGGCUUAGAUGUCAGCCUGGUGAGGACUGGCCGCAGCCAGAGCAGCAGUUAGGGAGGCAGUGGGCUCUCCCUGAAGCAGAAGUAAGCCAUUUCCUGAGGUGCCCAUCCACAGGAUAUAAAGCAGCUGUAUUCAGAGGCGCCUCCCUCCACACUGCCUUGUCCUCAACAGAAACUUGUUUUGUUAGGAUGGAUUAGUCUCUUAGUGAGAACCGGUCCACAGCGUGUAAGAGGCACCCUCCGCUCUUGGAGGGGUCCAGAGAAGGGUGGCAGGUGGCCGUGGGAGAUGUGCUACGUAAGGCCUAGAGGCCCUGCUGCCAGGCUCUCAAUUAUGUGAACUGGGGAGUCACCAGCCCGCCUCCUCCAAGAGCUUGGAGGGAUCAGCAAGACUUGGGAACACUGUCACUCAACGUAAGAGGACAUGACUAUUUACUCCUGCAAGAGACCUGUGAAAUUCUGAAUUCUCUGCCAAAACCGUCGCCCUCUCCUUAACCCUGGUGCCUCCAAGUACAGCCUUUCACAAAAGCCAGAAAGCAGAGGUAGAUAAGCAGCCAGAGAGAACCGAGUGGACAAUCACAGGAUUCGACGACUGACCUCAUUCACCAUUUCCUCCAGGGCUGUCUUCUGCCAGCUCCCUGCCGACCUUCUGCCCUCUGCCCUGCCCACUGUCCUGCCCCUACCCUCAAAAGGAGGGUGAACUGGGUAGGCAAUUCUUAUUCUGAACACAUUCGGCCCAUCUUUGUGCGGACUCUGGAGUUCCUGAGAGCAAUCUUGGUUGGGGGACGUGGCAUUGCAUUCCACGUGGAUCAAUGGAUUGAUUGGCAGACCAAGAAAUCACAAGCUCCGGGUGUCGGAUUAAUUUAACUCACAUGAACUGUGAGCCCGUGGUUGGCUGGGAUUUGAGUCUGGGUGGCAUCCAAGAUCUGAAACCAGGGAGGGCCUGGAGAGGCAGGAAGAGAAGCGGGUCUUGUGCAGUGGCCGGCAAACUGUGUCCCGGGGGUCAGACCCAGCCUGCCACCUGUUUUUGCACAGCCUAUGAGCUAAGAAGGGUUUUUACAUUUUUUUAAUGGUUGGAAACAUCAAAAGAAGAGAAUUUUCUAACAUGUAAAAAUUAAAUGAAAUUCAAUUGCAGUGUCCAUCAAUGAAGUUGUCUGGGAUCACAGCCAUGCCCAUCCAUUUAUGAAUGUAUUGUCUUUGCCUGGCUGCUCAGCAGCGGAGCUGAGUAGCUGUGACAGAAACCAUCUGGCUCCCAAAGCUGAAUGUGUCUACCUUCUGGCUCUUUACAGAAGAAGCUGGCUUAUCGCUGCUGUCAUUCAUUUUUAUGAGCGCGUAGUCUGGUGGAGGAGGUGAACGAAAAGGGAGCUUUCUGAGUGUUACCUAAUGUGCUUUACAGCUAUGAGUCCAUGUAAUCCUCACAGCAGCCACGUGACUGAGAACUGUUAUCCUUGUUUUCCACAUGAGCAAACGGAGAAGCACCCAGUCAGAAGGGGGUGGUGCUGGGAUCUGCCCCCGGCACUGGUACCACCAUGAGCCAGGGCACAGUGACAAUGACCAAGGAAGGGGCAGAAGCAGUGUCGAGGCAGGCAAAGACGUCGUGAACAGAUAAGAUUCAGAAGCACAGAGCUGUUAAGAAAGAGCCUCCAGCCAUUGCCAGUUUGGCCUCAGUGGAUAGAGCGUCGACCUGGGGACUGAGGGGUCCCGGGUU
Molecule: long non-coding RNA, 3151 nt
Organism: Myotis davidii
Lineage: Eukaryota; Metazoa; Chordata; Mammalia; Chiroptera; Vespertilionidae
Exons: 5
Source: RefSeq, a predicted model, not a curated record